AUUGGAAGUAAAAGUCGUAACAAGGUUUCCGUAGGUGAACCUGCGGAAGGAUCAUUAUUGAAUGAACUUGGUGUGGUUGUCGCUGGCCCUCUUGGGGGCAUGUGCACACCUACCAUCCUCAUCUCUCCACCUGUGCACCUCUUGUAGAUUUGGAAUUGAUUAUCCGAGGCAACUCGGUCGUGAGGACUGCUAGCACUUAGCUGGCUUUCUUUGCAAUUCCAGGUCUAUGUUUUUCAUAUACCCCAUUGUAUGUAACAGAAUGUAUCAUUGGGCCUUGUGCCUAUAAACCUUAUACAACUUUCAGCAACGGAUCUCUUGGCUCUCGCAUCGAUGAAGAACGCAGCAAAAUGCGAUAAGUAAUGUGAAUUGCAGAAUUCAGUGAAUCAUCGAAUCUUUGAACGCACCUUGCGCUCCUUGGUAUUCCGAGGAGCAUGCCUGUUUGAGUGUCAUUAAAUUCUCAACCAUUAUCAACUUUUGCUGAUAAUGGCUUGGAUGUGGGGGUCUAUUUUGCUGGCUUCUCAGAUAGUCAGCUCCCCUUAAAUGCAUUAGCCGGUGCCCCGCGUGGACUGUCUAUUGGUGUGAUAAUUAUCUACGCUAUAGACAUCUGCAAUCAUAUGGGUUUGCGCUGCUUCUAACAGUCUGUUGAUUCAGACAAUACAUGACAAUUUGACCUCAAAUCAGGUAGGACUACCCGCUGAACUUAAGCAUAUCAAUAAGCGGAGGAAAUC
This 728-nucleotide ribosomal RNA is filed under the name uncultured Hebeloma. RNAcentral describes it as "eukaryotic LSU rRNA". The stretch from base 296 to 449 matches the Rfam family "5.8S ribosomal RNA". The record is from RNAcentral. Lineage: Eukaryota; Fungi; Basidiomycota; Agaricomycetes; Agaricales; Cortinariaceae.